Molecule: ribosomal RNA, 476 nt
Filed under: uncultured bacterium
Lineage: Bacteria
Description: partial 16S ribosomal RNA
Rfam family: Bacterial small subunit ribosomal RNA
Source: RNAcentral
UGAACGCUGGCGGCGUGCCUAACACAUGCACGUCGAACGGAGUCCAGCCUUUAAGACCUUCGGGUCAAAGAGGGGAAGACUGAGUGGCGGACGGGUGAGUAACACGUGGGCAACCUGGCUCAUAGAGGGGGAUAACAGAGAGAAAUUUCUGCUAAUACCGCAUAAGCACACACUGCCGCAUGGCAGAGGGUGAAAAGAGAAUCGCUAUGAGAUGGACCCGCGUCUGAUUAGCCAGUUGGCAGGGUAAGAGCCUACCAAAGCGACGAUCAGUAGCCGAUCUGAGAGGAUGAACGGCCACAUUGGGACUGAGACACGGCCCAAACUCCUACGGGAGGCAGCAGUGGGGGAUAUUGCACAAUGGGGGGAACCCUGAUGCAGCGACGCCGCGUGAGUGAAGAAGUAUUUCGGUAUGUAAAGCUCUAUCAGCAGGGAAGAUAAUGACAGUACCUGAAUAAGAAGCCCCGGCUAACUACGUG